This 432-nucleotide ribosomal RNA is filed under the name uncultured bacterium. Its description in RNAcentral is "partial 16S ribosomal RNA". It matches the Rfam family "Bacterial small subunit ribosomal RNA", at positions 29 to 507 of the family's 1533-position model. The record is from RNAcentral.
AGCGAACGCUGGCGGCAGGCCUAACACAUGCAAGUCGAACGAACUCUUCGGAGUUAGUGGCGGACGGGUGAGUAACACGUGGGAACGUGCCUUUUGGUUCGGAAUAACUCAGGGAAACUUGUGCUAAUACCGAAUGUGCCCUUCGGGGGAAAGAUUUAUCGCCAUUAGAGCGGCCCGCGUCUGAUUAGCUAGUUGGUGAGGUAACGGCUCACCAAGGCGACGAUCAGUAGCUGGUCUGAGAGGAUGACCAGCCACACUGGGACUGAGCCACGGCCCAGACUCCUACGGAAGGCAGCAGUGGGGAAUCUUGCGCAAUGGGCGAAAGCCGGACGCAGCCAUGCCGCGUGAAUGAUGAAGGUCUUAGGAUUUUAAAAUUCUUUCCCCGGGGACGAUAAUGACGGUACCGGAGAAGAAGCCCCGGCUAACUUCGUG